Molecule: long non-coding RNA, 491 nt
Organism: Leucoraja erinaceus (little skate)
Lineage: Eukaryota; Metazoa; Chordata; Chondrichthyes; Rajiformes; Rajidae
Exons: 2
Source: RefSeq, a predicted model, not a curated record
CGCCCAAUUCACUGGUGGGAUUCCGGGUCUACCCACCAGAGUCCAGGUUGAGUGUGGUGACCCAUCUACAACUAUAUAUAGACACAACCCACAAUCUUAGAGGGAGAGGAAAGCCUAUGGGUCAACCACAAGAAACCCCAAGACGGGGUAACGAGCCAAACCACUUCAAGGUGGCUCAAACAGGUACUGAAAGCUGCCGGAAUAGAUAAUAAUACAUUUAAAUCCCAUUCCACUAGGGCAGCAUUGAUAUCAGCGGCUGAACGAAUGGACAUCCCGGUUGACCACAUUCUCAAUACGGGGAUGGUCAAGGGAAACGACGUUCAGAACAUUUUUUAUUGUAAACCGUUGAUAAGCCUGAUUUAAUUGCAGAAAGAAUAUUACAAACUGCAAAUAUUAAUUUAAGCUCAGGGGAGCUAUUUAUGUUGUUAUUGUUAACAAAUACCUUUCUGUUUCUUGUGAAAGCAGAUCCAUUGGUUGAUUACGAUAACACU